This 4604-nucleotide long non-coding RNA is filed under the name Sus scrofa (pig). Its description in RNAcentral is "lncRNA (ENSSSCG00000052489.1)". The record is from RNAcentral. Lineage: Eukaryota; Metazoa; Chordata; Mammalia; Artiodactyla; Suidae.
UUAAUAAUCCUCUGCCAAAUCUGAGGUCAUAAAAAUUUACUCAAUGUUUUAUUCUAAGAUUUUUAUAGGUUGAUCUCUUGCAUUAAUAUCUUCAUUUAAAUUUAUUUUUUGUAUAUGGUGUGAGUUAAAAUUUUAAAAUCUUUGUUUUCGGGUUUUGCUUAUGGUUAGUCCCAGCAUUAUCUAUUGAAAUUCUGAUUUCACACUGAAUAGUCUUGGCACCCUUGUUGAAAAUCAGUUGACCAUUGAUAUACACAUUUGCUUCCAGAGUCUUAAUCGUAUUCCAUUGAUAUGUCUGUCUCGCCUUAUGUUCAGAACCAAAUUGUCUUGCUGACAGGUGCUUUGUAAUAGUUUUCAACUGUGAGUAAUCCUACCCUAUUCUUUCACAGGAUGGUUUUGGCUCUUCUGUGUCCCAUGCAAUUCCGUAUGAGUUUUAGAAUAAACUUUUCAUUGUGCAUAAAGAAGUCAAAUAUGAUUUUGAUAAAGAUUUUACUGAAUCUGUAGAACAAUUUGAGAAGGACUGUCACCUUUACAUAGCUAAAUCUUACUUCUACACAUGGGAUAUAUUUCCAUUAAUAAAUGGAAACUGUCUUAAAGGUCUUUUAAAAAAUCUUUUCUUUUUAAUGACCACCAAUUUCAUUCAGCAUGUUUUAUAGUUUUUUUCUAAUAUGUUUUGUAUUUUUGUUAAACUUUUUUCUAAGUAUUUGUCUUUAAUGCUGUUGUAAAUUGAAUUGUUUUUAAAAUUAUUUUUAUUUUGUUCACUGCAAAUGCAUAUAAAUAUAAAUGAUUUCUCUAUACUGAACUUACGUGCUGCUACCCUGUUGACCUUAUAAGUCUUCUAAUAGGUUAAACUUUUCUGUAGGAAAAAGUGUAUCCUCUUUAAAUAGAAAUGGUUCCACUUCUUCCUUCUGAAUCUGAAUAUCUUUAUUUCUUCUCUCCUUCUUAACUGUCAUGGCUAAGUGGCCAGAACUCCCAGGACACCGUUGAAGAGAACAGAUGAGAACAGCUGAGAGAGGAUGUGUUUACCAUGCCUUUGCUCUUAAGGGUAGGUAUGAUGCGCCUUUUACUAUUAAGUAUGAGAUGAGCUGUGUUCUUCAUAGAUACCUUUCAUCCACUUGAGAAAGUUCCCUUCUAUUUCUAGUUGUGUUUGGCCACACCAGGGACAUGUGAAAUUUCCCUCGGCCAGGGAUCACACCCACACCACAGCAGAGAUCUGAGUCACAACAGUGACAAUGCUGGGUCCUAACCUUCUGGCCACCAGCGAACUCCUAUUUCUAGUUUCUUGAGAAGGAUGUUGCAUUUUUUCAAAUGCUUUUCCUUCAUUUAGGAAAAUGAUUCACUAUUCUUCUAGUAAAAGAUACAUUACAUUCGUUGUUUUUCAGUUGUUAAACCAACCUGGCAUUUCUGGGACAAGUCCCUCUUAGUCAUAGUGUGUAAUUCUCUAUACACAGCACUAGGUUGAUUUGCUAGUAUUUGUUGAGAAGUUUUGCAUCCAAAUUUAUAACAGAUACUGGCCUGUAGUAUCUCUUACUGUGACUUUUUUUUUGAUACCAAGGUAAAUAAUACCCUCAUAAAAUGAGUUGAGAAGUAUUCCAUCUUACAAAUAUUUUUUAGAAUAGGUUGUAACAGCUGGUAUUAAUUCUUCUCUAAAUAUUUUAUAGAAGUUAGCAGUGAAACCAUUAGGGCCUAGCCCUAUCUCUAUUAAUUAUUAAACACAUAUUUCACUUGUUAAGGUUCUAUUUAAUUGCUACUUCUGAGCUGGUUUCAGGAGAUUAUGCCUUUCUAAGAAUGUGUCCAUUUCACUUGUUAUCUAAUUUGUGGUUUAAAGCUGUUCUUUUUCUCCUUUUUCUUUUUGUCUUUUCUAGGGCCACACCCACAGCGUAUGGAGGUUCCGAGGCUAGGGGUCUAAUCAGAACUACAGCUGCCGGCCUACACCACAGCUCACAGCAACGCCGGAUCCUUAACCCACUGAACAAGGCCAGGGAUCGAACCCACAACCUCAUGGUUCCUAGUCGGAUUUGUUUCCACUGCUCCAUGACGGGAACUCCUCAAGUUGUUCUUAAUUUUCCUUUACAGUGACUUUCUGUAAGAUUAGGAGCAACUAACUCUCCUUACUAUUUCUAGUCAUUUGAGUCUUUCGCUCUCUCUUUUUUCUGGGCCAAUCUAGCUAAAGUUUUCUGGCUUUUAAUUUAAUUGAUUUUUGCUUGUGCGUCGCUACAUUCCAAGAACAGAGGAGGUAGAAGUGAGCCUCCAAUUGCCUGGGUCCAGCUCUUGGGUCAAUCAGUGGUCACAUCCUUUCAAUGACCUCUUCCAAUGCUGUGUUAAGAACACACUGCUGAAUAAAUGUUUCUUCAGAGUUAGUCAAGAGAUCUAAUGCUGUAGUUCUUGCAAUGUUUUUCUGGUCUUGCCUAUUUUAGACUUUCUGCAUUUACACAAAAAUUAUGCAAUUUACUUAUCUAUCAGUUUCCACAACAGAACUUACUAGAAUUAGAAUAGAGUUGUGUUGAGUCAAUUUUACCUUGGAAAGAAUUAUUAAUAACACAGACUUUUGUAAUCAAUGAACAUGGUCUGUUUAUCUAGGUCUACUUGAAAUCUUCUGCAAUGUUUUGAAGUUUUCAGAGUAGAUAUCUUAAAAGUAUUUUAUUUUAUUUUUACAUAUUUUAUGUUUCUAGUUAAUCACUUUGCUUGAUGAAAAUGAUAUUUAAAAUUUAUAUAGACUAUUUUAUCAAGUAGGGAGGAAUUCAGUUUUGUACACUGAUCUUCUACCUGGUCUCCUUUUAUAAAUUAACUGGUUCUUUUUUGUUUUUGUUUUUUUUUCUCUUUAUGGCUGCACCUGCAGCACAUGGAAGUUCCUGGGCCAGAGGUUUAAUCAGAGCUGCAGCUGGGCCCUCCACCACAGUCACAGUAACAACGGAUCUGACUGCAUCUGCAGUCUAUGCUGCAGCAUUCAGCAAUGCUAGCAAUGCUGGAUUCUUAACCCACUGAAUGAGGCCAGGGAUUGAAGGAGCAUCCUCACAGAGACAACGUCAGGUGCUUAACUCACUGUCACUGAGUGACAACAGGAACUCCUAAAUUAACUUGUUCUUAAUGUUUAUAGAUUUCUACAUAAGCAAUCAUAUCGUUUGUGAAUAGUAGCAUUUUUACUUUAUCCUUUUGAAUUUUUAUACCCUUCCUUUCUUUUUUCUUUCUAUAUCACAUGGUCUUAGACAUCUAGUACAACUCUAAACAAAAGUAUUGAUAGGGAUAUCCUGAACUUUACAUGUUGCUGAUGGAAAAUGUCUAUUUUUUUUUCAUUGCCGUACUGUCAACUAUAACAUUUCCAUGUGCCUAUCAAUUUAAGGUAGUAUCUUCUGUCUCUAGUUUACUCAGGGGUUUUGGGACGAAAAGAUGAGGAUUUUAUCUAUUGAGAUGAUCAUGUAGUUUUUCCUCCUUGCCACUGUGAAUUAAAGUCAUGAUUUUUGAAAACCGUGUAUUCUUAGGAUAAAUGCCACUUGGUCAUGAUCUAUUAUCCUUUUUAUAUAUCACUGUAGUCUACUUGCUGUUUUCUAUAUGUCUGUAUCUAUGUUCACAAAGUAGUAACCAUUGGUUACUGUGUCUCAUAAUGUAAUUCUCUGGUUAAGUAUCACACAUGAAACUAGUGGAGAAGUGUUUUAUUCUCUAACAGAGUAUGUAUACAAUGAUUUUGUUAAAUGCUUAAUAUAAAUCACAAGGAGUUCCUGCUGUGACUCAGCAGAAGCGAACCCAACUAAUAUCCAUGAGGAUGCGGCCUUGAUCCCUGGCCUCGCUUAGUGGGUUAAGGAUCCAGCAUUGCUGUGAGCUGUGGUGUAGGUUACAGACGUGGCUCUGAUCCUCUGUCACCGUAGCUGUGGUGGAGCACGGCAGCUGUAGCUCCAAUUCGACCCCUAGCCUGGGAACUUCCAUAUGCCAUAUGUCUACUUAAUAAGUUGUGUUUGUAAAACUGGACAGCUAUAUGCAAAAGAAUGAAAUUAGAACCUUCUCUAACACCAUACACAAAAAUAAACUCAAAAUGGAUUAACGACAUAAAUAUAAGACCAUAUACUAUAAAACUCUUAGAGGAAAACAUAGGCUGAACACUCCUGACAUAAACCACAGCAAUAUCUUCUGAUAUCCACCUCCUAGAGUAAUGACUAUGAAAAAAUAAAUAAAUAAACACAUGGGACCUAAUUAAACUUAAAGUUUUUGCACAGCAACGGAAACCAUAAACAAAACAAAAAGACAACCCACAGAAUUGGAGAAAAUAUUUGCAAAUGAAGAGACUGACAAAGGAUUAAUACCAAAACAAACAAACAAACAAACAACCCCAUCAAAGAAAAACAUGGGCAAAAAAUAAAAAUUUACAUUUCUCCAAAGGAAACAUAAAAGUGGCCAAAAAAGACAUGCAAAAUGCUCAACAUCACUAAUUAUUAGAGAAAUGCAAGUCAAAACUACUGUGAGGUACCACCUUAUACCAGCCAGAAUGGCCAUCAUUAAAAAGGCUACAAAUAAUAAAUGCUAGAAAGGGUGUGGAGAAAAGGGAACCCUCCUACACUGUUGGUGAGAUUGUACAUUGGUGCAACCACUAUGGAAAACAGUAUGGAGGUUCCUCA